GGGUGAGGAAUGCAUCGGAAUCUACUCUGUCGUGGGGGAUAACGUAGGGAAACUUACGCUAAUACCGCAUACGACCUACGGGUGAAAGCAGGGGAUCUUCGGACCUUGCGCGAUUGAAUGAGCCGAUGCCCGAUUAGCUAGUUGGCGGGGUAAGAGCCCACCAAGGCGACGAUCGGUAGCUGGUCUGAGAGGAUGAUCAGCCACACUGGAACUGAGACACGGUCCAGACUCCUACGGGAGGCAGCAGUGGGGAAUAUUGGACAAUGGGCGCAAGCCUGAUCCAGCCAUACCGCGUGGGUGAAGAAGGCCUUCGGGUUGUAAAGCCCUUUUGUUGGGAAAGAAAAGCAUUCGGUUAAUACCCGAUUGUUCUGACGGUACCCAAAGAAUAAGCACCGGCUAACUUCGUGCCAGCAGCCGCGGUAAUACGAAGGGUGCAAGCGUUACUCGGAAUUACUGGGCGUAAAGCGUGCGUAGGUGGUUGUUUAAGUCUGUCGUGAAAGCCUGGGCUCAACCUGGGAAUUGCGAUGGUAACUGGGCGACUAGAGUGUGGCAGAGGGUAGUGGAAUUCCUGGUGUAGCAGUGAAAUGCGUAGAGAUCAGGAGGAACAUCCGUGGCGAAGGCGACUGCCUGGGCCAACACUGACACUGAGGCACGAAAGCGUGGGGAGCAAACAGGAGUAGAUACCUGGUAGUCCACGCCCUAAACGAUGCGAACUGG
This 717-nucleotide ribosomal RNA is filed under the name bacterium MS-AsV-24. RNAcentral describes it as "bacterial SSU rRNA". It matches the Rfam family "Bacterial small subunit ribosomal RNA", at positions 104 to 819 of the family's 1533-position model. The record is from RNAcentral.